GUAGGUGGCAAGCGUUGUCCGGAAUUAUUGGGCGUAAAGCGCGCGCAGGCGGUUCUUUAAGUCUGAUGUGAAAGCCCACGGCUCAACCGUGGAGGGUCAUUGGAAACUGGAGAACUUGAGUACAGAAGAGGAAAGCGGAAUUCCACGUGUAGCGGUGAAAUGCGUAGAGAUGUGGAGGAACACCAGUGGCGAAGGCGGCUUCCUGGUCUGUAACUGACGCUGAGGCGCGAAAGCGUGGGGAGCAAACAGGGAUUAGAUACCCUGGUAGUCCACGCCGUAAACGAUGAGUGCUAAGUGUUAGGGGGUUUCCGCCCCCUUAGUGCUGCAGCUAACGCAUUAAGCACUCCGCCUGGGGAGUACGGCCGCAAGGCUG
RNAcentral lists this ribosomal RNA (373 nucleotides) under uncultured organism. RNAcentral's name for it is "partial 16S ribosomal RNA". It matches the Rfam family "Bacterial small subunit ribosomal RNA", at positions 527 to 896 of the family's 1533-position model. The record is from RNAcentral.